RNAcentral lists this ribosomal RNA (393 nucleotides) under Triticum aestivum (bread wheat). RNAcentral's name for it is "partial small subunit ribosomal RNA". Lineage: Eukaryota; Viridiplantae; Streptophyta; Magnoliopsida; Poales; Poaceae. The record is from RNAcentral.
CAGUCGUUCGUUUGUGCCAACUGCGUCACCGAGCGCGUCGUGUUCUUCUACUCCGCCGACGGCGCCAGGCUCUUCUUCGAGUGUGAUGGCGCCGUGCACGGGGUUAGCGCGCUCGCGAGCCUCCACCUAUGUGCCCCGCUUUGCGACGCCUGUGACGCCGAACGUGCCGCUCUCUGCUGCCAAAUCGGCGCCCACCGGGCCAUGCUCUGCGCCGGCCGCCGUGCGCUGCUAGACCGCGGCGGUGGAGCCUCCCCCGUGGAUGCUUACACCAGCGGUUAUGCGCCCGCCGAGAUCGUCUGCAUCCUCUCCGUCGACGCGCCGUCGUCGCAUGAGGACUUCGAUGUCUGGCUCGCCGACAACCUCCCCCAAAUCCUACACGAGGUUCAGGUAUAA